RNAcentral lists this long non-coding RNA (1387 nucleotides) under Gossypium barbadense (sea-island cotton). Its description in RNAcentral is "long non-coding RNA (GBAR_LNC022280)". The record is from RNAcentral. Lineage: Eukaryota; Viridiplantae; Streptophyta; Magnoliopsida; Malvales; Malvaceae.
AAAGCGCGAAUGACAUGGGGGACGGAAAGGGGAAUAAUCCCCACCCUCCAAAACGCAGCGUUACAUAAGGACCGAAAUGAAAAUCGCCGUAAAAUAGGCGGCCUAAUUCAAAAGAACGAUAGAAGCUAGAUUGAACCCAGACGCAAAAGUGGAGGACCUGGCACGUAAAUAGACCAAAUAGGAAAAAUGCGCGGAUCCUCCCGGGUCGGGUCACACGUGCGGGUUAUGGCCCCCAAAACGGUACCGUUUGGAAGCUAUUGUGCAAGCUUCAAACGGCGCCGUUUCCAUGAUUAAGAUAAAAAUAAAAAAAAAGAAACCCUAGACUAAACCCGAUCUGCCCUUUGAAACAAAAACCUAGCACUCCCCUUUUCUCUCCUGCGCCGUUCAUCGCCUCAGAACAGGGGCUUUCCGAAUCCCAUGCUCGACUCCGAUUAUGACGGAGAGAGCACAAGGCCGGUCCCAGGUGCGUUCUGACUCCUCUUUUUCUUUUAUUUGCUUUCUUUUACAAACAAAUAAUAGCACAACGUGAACGUUUUUGGAAUAGAACAGAAAAAAUCGAAAAGAAAAAAAAACUUUCAGAUCACCUUUUUCUUUGAAACUUUUUGUUUUUUUGUAUUUCCACCGGUUUUUUGAUAUAGAAUGCGUAAAAAAGAAGGGGAUCCCCUUACAAUAUUAGAAUCGGCCUCAUAUAGCCGAAAUAAAAAAGAAAAAUAAAACAAAAAUCUCCAUUUUUUUCAUAUUUUCGUCCUUUUUUUGCUGUUAUUCUUUGCUAUUCUCGUGUCUUCUCUGUUGUUGCUGCGUUUUUUGUCCGUCUUUGUUUGUUUUCUGUGCAGGUACAGGUACGGAGACGUGGCGCGGUGCAACGCGUGAAGGCGUGGUCCCUGGUGGCGGCGUGGCUCGGCUCGGAGGCGUGGCUUUGGCGCGGAGGCACUACAUGCGCGCGGGCAUAACACGUGCGAGGGGGAAGGCUGGCUCUGUUGCGGCGCUGGAGGCUCACCCUAGCUGCUAGGGUUUCGCUUAUAGCUUUGGGCUUAGGUGAUUUGGGCCAUUGGGUUUAGUGGGUCAGGCUGGUAUUGGGUUAACAGUUUAGGCUUGGGACUUUGGAUUUUGUAAUCGGGUUUGGGCUUAAUCUACUUGGUUUGUAAUUUGAACUGUUAAUAAUUUAAUUUUUUAUAUUAUUAUUUUUUUAUUUGGCUUAUUUUGUUGGUUUAUGGGCCGGGCAAAAAUGGGUUCUUACAUUACCAAUAGCUGGGUGACUACAAAGGUAGCUUAUCCAUUCAAAAAUUGAAUUUAAUUAAUUAUUUGAAAAAAAUUUUCAUUUAACUCAAAUUUGAAUUAACAUUAUUUGAUUUAGGGUUAAUAUAUACAGAGGCACUUGAACUUGACA